CGUGGCUAACCUGCCCUUGGGACAGAGACACCCCCGGGAGACUGGGGCUAAUCCCUGAUAGGCGAAGAACUCUGGAAUGAGUCUUCACCCAAAAGACGCCUAGGCCACGCUUCUAGGCGCCGCCCAAGGAUGGGGCCGCGACCGAUCAGGUUGUUGGUGAGGUAACGGCCUACCAAGCCUUUUACCGGUACGGGCCGUGAGAGCGGGAGCCCGGAGAUGGGCACUGAGACAAGGGCCCAGGUCCUACGGGGCGCAGCAGUCGCGCAAACUUUGCAAUACACGAAAGUGUGACAGGGCUAUCCCGAGUGCCGUCCGCUGAGGGUGGCUUUUACCCAGUCUAGAAAGCUGGGAGAAUAAGGAGAGGGCAAGUCUGGUGUCAGCCGCCGCGGUAAUACCAGCUCUCCGAGUGGUGUGGAUGUUUAUUGGGCCUAAAGCAUCCGUAGCUUGCUGAUCAAGUCCCCUGUUAAACCCAACGAAUCAAUCGUUGGAUUGCGGGGGAUACUGCUCGGCUAUGGGACGGGAGAGGCCGACGGUAUUUUCGGGGUAGGGGUGAAAUCCUAUAAUCCCGAGAGGACCACCAGUGGCGAAGGCUGUCGGCUAGAACGCGCCCAACGGUGAGGGAUGAAAGCUGGGGGAGCGAACCGGAUUAGAUACCCGGGUAGUCCCAGCUGU
RNAcentral lists this ribosomal RNA (672 nucleotides) under uncultured archaeon. Its description in RNAcentral is "bacterial SSU rRNA". It matches the Rfam family "Archaeal small subunit ribosomal RNA", at positions 99 to 754 of the family's 1478-position model. The record is from RNAcentral.